UUUCUUUUCUUUUCUUUUCUUUUCUUCCUCCGUAUAUUUUCAAUACAAGCAAAUGCUGAGUUAAGACUAAAAAUCCCAAGGCGUUUUAUUGAGGUAGAUCUGAACUGGAGCCUGUCAACCGCGUUGGCGGAUGGACAUCAAGACUGUUGGGGGCGUAUAAUACUGGUUCGAUAACAGCUGUCUCACACAUCUGGUGGGUUUUUAUUUUUAUUGUUAUUUUUAUUUUUGGUUUUCUUUUCUUUCUUUUCUUUUUCUUUUUCUUUUCCUUUUUUUUUAAUUAUUUGUUUAUUCAUUUAGCGAAUCAGGAGGGUACAUACCCCAGAAAUAUUUACAUUUCUGGGAGUCAUGGUACAAGAGCGUUACAAGAACUUGUUUAGUUGGCCCUGGGGAAUGGAGGAGAUGCCGACAAGUCGGAAACGAGGUGGAGCUGGUCAGGCAAGAUGUGUUUUCUUUUGCAAUUAAUAAAUACCAGUAGCCGCCGGAUUUUGCUUUGCCUGAUUCUAGACACAACCCGUCAGGGUGUGUGGUGUAAAAAAAGAAAAGGGUCUCUUCGUGUGUCGUUUUCUGUUCUUUUUUUCCUUUGAGAGCCUGUGGAUGCUG
RNAcentral lists this small RNA (600 nucleotides) under Histoplasma capsulatum. RNAcentral's name for it is "hypothetical RNA". RNAcentral also lists the same sequence under 1 other name. The record is from RNAcentral. Lineage: Eukaryota; Fungi; Ascomycota; Eurotiomycetes; Onygenales; Ajellomycetaceae.